UACGGGGGGGGCAAGCGUUGUUCGGAAUUACUGGGCGUAAAGGGCUCGUAGGCGGCCAACUAAGUCCGACGUGAAAUCCCCAGGCUUAACCUGGGAACUGCGUCGGAUACUGGAUGGCUUGAAUUCGGGAGAGGGAUGCAGAAUCCAGGUGUAGCGGUGAAAUGCGUAGAUAUCUGGAGGAAUACCGGUGGCGAAGGCGGCAUCCUGGACCGACAUUGACGCUGAUGAGCGAAAGCUAGGGGAGCAAACGGG
Molecule: ribosomal RNA, 252 nt
Filed under: uncultured bacterium
Lineage: Bacteria
Description: partial 16S ribosomal RNA
Rfam family: Bacterial small subunit ribosomal RNA
Source: RNAcentral